Molecule: transfer RNA, 87 nt
Filed under: Flavobacterium sp. WW92
Lineage: Bacteria; Pseudomonadati; Bacteroidota; Flavobacteriia; Flavobacteriales; Flavobacteriaceae
Also listed under: 1 other name
Description: tRNA-Tyr
Rfam family: tRNA
About the family: Transfer RNA (tRNA) molecules are approximately 80 nucleotides in length. Their secondary structure includes four short double-helical elements and three loops (D, anti-codon, and T loops).
Source: RNAcentral
GGAAGUACGCCAAAGUUGGAGGGUUGGGGCAGACUGUAAAUCUGUUGUUUAAGUACGGAGUAGGUUCGAUUCCUACUACUUCCACCA